CCAUCGGUGGUUCAGUGGUAGAAUUCUCGCCUGCCACGCGGGCGGCCCGGGUUCGAAUCCCGGCCGAUGCA
RNAcentral lists this transfer RNA (71 nucleotides) under Cordylochernes scorpioides. Its description in RNAcentral is "tRNA-Gly". It matches the Rfam family "tRNA". From Rfam's summary of the family: Transfer RNA (tRNA) molecules are approximately 80 nucleotides in length. Their secondary structure includes four short double-helical elements and three loops (D, anti-codon, and T loops). Further hydrogen bonds mediate the characteristic L-shaped molecular structure. tRNAs have two regions of fundamental functional importance: the anti-codon, which is responsible for specific mRNA codon recognition, and the 3' end, to which the tRNAs corresponding amino acid is attached (by aminoacyl-tRNA synthetases). tRNAs cope with the degeneracy of the genetic code in two manners: having more than one tRNA (with a specific anti-codon) for a particular amino acid; and 'wobble' base-pairing, i.e. permitting non-standard base-pairing at the 3rd anti-codon position. Lineage: Eukaryota; Metazoa; Arthropoda; Arachnida; Pseudoscorpiones; Chernetidae. The record is from RNAcentral.